Long non-coding RNA from Vitis riparia (riverbank grape), 1160 nucleotides. RefSeq lists it as uncharacterized. The transcript is spliced from 6 exons. The record is from RefSeq and is a predicted model, not a curated record. NCBI's taxonomy places the organism in Eukaryota, Viridiplantae, Streptophyta, Magnoliopsida, Vitales, Vitaceae.
GAACUUCUUAGAAGGAUUUUCAGGGGAAUAUUUUAGAGUCUUAGGAGAUGGAGAAUCCAAGGAUAGCAAAACAUUUCUUCAAGGAUACAAAGUAUUUUGACUUCAAAAAUCAUUGAAGCUUCCUUGACAAAUUUUGUAAGAUAGGAGCCUAGACAUGGUCGUUUCAGGUUUCGUCAUCCUUAGAAACAAUACCAAAAGAUUGGAUCCCUAGCUGGCCAAUGCACCUAUCUCAUUGAUGCUCUUAACAGCUACCCUCACUCUCAUAUCCCGGCCUCCAUAGAGAUCCAAAGCAAAAUUCAAGAGUAUGACUAAACCAUGCUCUGUUGAUCCCUAUAUUGUAAACUUAAAAACUGCUGCUAAAACCCUCAAAUCGUUGCUCGAAACUCAUUCUUGUGAAGACGUUGACCUUCUUGAGCUAAUGUCAACUGCUGUAUGCUAAACACAAGGUAGAAUUGGAGCUUUGUGCAAAAAAAAUGCCAAACACUUCCAUGAUCUUAGACUUCUUCAAAGGUUGGGAAAAAUGCAAGCUCUGGAAUGCAUUUCGUGAACAUAUGGGGACAUUGAACAGAUGCCUUGUCCCCAGAAGUCUCCAAGUGAGUAAUGAAAGGAUAUAAAACUGAUUUCCAUAAAGGAUGAAAGUCUCUCUACUGUAUCAGCAAUCGAUGAACCAGUGCAUGCAAUCAUCGUGUUUUCUUCUACAAAUCUAUGUGUGAAAAUUGGUUGGCCACGUAAGCAAAGUUAGUUGAUUAACUAACUGAAAGUGUGAGCUGGCACACCUGUUUGCUUAGCAUUUUUUUUCAUGUACUCAUGUAUAAAAAUGUGAAGAAAAAAAAAAGGAGAUUUUUGAAUUGUAGAAAAGAAGUGAGAGGAUUUUAGAGUGAGUCUUCUUCACUGUUCUGUAGCGAGAGCUUGAUGAUUCUCAGAGAUUCUUGAGGGUGUAAAAUGGUUCAAUCUUAGUGGAUUUUUGGAGGUGAUCUUGAUCCGUGGAUGUAGGAUUCAAUCUUGGAUCCGAACCACGUAAAUCCUGCUUGUUUUGUUAUGUUUUGAUAUUAGAUAUUAUUUUCUUUUGAUUUAUGGUUUUGUUUUCUUUGUCUUCUUGGAUUGGUGUUCAAUCUCAAUUCAUUGAGGAACUUGGAUAAAAACUAACACUAUGUUUUGUA